RNAcentral lists this transfer RNA (88 nucleotides) under Congregibacter litoralis KT71. RNAcentral describes it as "tRNA-Leu". It matches the Rfam family "tRNA". Rfam says of the family: Transfer RNA (tRNA) molecules are approximately 80 nucleotides in length. Their secondary structure includes four short double-helical elements and three loops (D, anti-codon, and T loops). Further hydrogen bonds mediate the characteristic L-shaped molecular structure. tRNAs have two regions of fundamental functional importance: the anti-codon, which is responsible for specific mRNA codon recognition, and the 3' end, to which the tRNAs corresponding amino acid is attached (by aminoacyl-tRNA synthetases). tRNAs cope with the degeneracy of the genetic code in two manners: having more than one tRNA (with a specific anti-codon) for a particular amino acid; and 'wobble' base-pairing, i.e. permitting non-standard base-pairing at the 3rd anti-codon position. RNAcentral also lists the same sequence under 5 other names. Lineage: Bacteria; Pseudomonadati; Pseudomonadota; Gammaproteobacteria; Cellvibrionales; Halieaceae. The record is from RNAcentral.
GCCCGGGUGGUGAAAUUGGUAGACACAGGAGACUUAAAAUCUCCCGACUAUUGCAGUCGUGCCGGUUCGAUUCCGGCCUCGGGCACCA